Phalacrocorax carbo (great cormorant) is the source of this 2795-nucleotide non-coding RNA. The record is from RefSeq and is a predicted model, not a curated record. Lineage: Eukaryota; Metazoa; Chordata; Aves; Suliformes; Phalacrocoracidae.
CAGAGCGCCACUCAGCGGGACUGUUUCCCGCCGGAUGAGUUAUGGAGAGCACCGGCGCCUCCGUCGGCUGGCCGGCGGUGCGGGGCAGUGCUAAUGAAGUAAUUUCAAAGCCAUUCAGACUAUGGCCUUUGAAAGAAUAACACAAAAGGACUGGUACAAAAUUCUGGGUGCAAAGCCGUCGGACAGUCUGGCAGAGCUAAAACAGAAGUACCAAAAACUUGUUUUAUUAUAUCAUCCAGACAAACAGAAGGCAGAUGUGCCAGCAGGAGAAGUGGAGGAGCGCGUGCAGAGGUUCAUCGAAAUUGAUCAAGCGUGGAAAAUUCUAGGGAACGAAGAGACAAAAAAAGAGUAUGACCUGCAGCAGCAUGAAGAUAAUCUGACAAAAGAAUGGCCACUACAUGCACAAAUUUAUCUUGAGGAUAUGUCCUGGAAUGAAGAUGAACAAUGUUACACUUUCUCAUGCCGAUGUGGUGGGAAUUACACUGUCUCCAAGAGUGAAACCAAAGACGUAUCUUUGGUUUGUUGUGAUACAUGUUCACUUGUUAUUGAGAUCCUUCAGUAGUUGUUUCAAUGAAGCACGUUAAGUUACAAACAUCUACAAAGACUGGACAAACAAGGGACAGCAUCUGCGAAGAAACGAGGGAAUGUGAAAAAAACAAUACUCGUGGCUGGAAAGGAGAUGGAACAAGCCUUCUAUGGGAAACAAAGACAUGCCACUGUGUGUAGUAAUUCCCAAGUCUUUUAAAGUUAUGACAGAAGUUGACUGUGACUUGUUCGUUCAGACUGGCUAGUCCAAUUAGCAGCUAUUUCCCCUUGCCCUCUUUGGUUUGGCAUACAUAGAUUGAUCUGAUGGAUGGGGGACAAAUGGGGCUAACUAGCUCUUUUGAAGAUACGCUACAGGUCUAUUUUUAACGUGGAGCCUAAGUCUAGGGAAUGCAGAGGAUAUCCUACCUAGGAUAGGACGAAGCAUGAGUUCUGUCAAUGAAUUUGCAGCUACUUUGAUUUUGGUGGCCUUUUUAUGGAAUGAACUUAUCUCAGAGUGGCAGGAAGGAAACGGGGCAAAUAAAAUCAAGUAUCAGUAUUCCUCUAUGGGUUAAAAACUCGUGCACCAAUGUUGACAGAGAAUCUUAGGUCUAAACUUCAUAGAUGAGCUAGAGAGAGAAUUAACGUGUUUUGCCAAGAAUAGGUUGCUUGAACAAACUUGGUACAACUCGCUUCUGCUGAAAUCCAUCACUUCCAAAUUAGAUUUGGGGUUUUUUUGCAUCCCUUACUGAAAGUGGAACUUAGCAUUCCAAAGUACAAUUACAUCUAUUUCUCCAAAAUUCACUUUAAGAUAAAGCCAUGUAAGCUUCCAUUCUCAAGGCAGUAAAAGAUUUUUCAUGAAAGAGAAGCCAAACCUCUAGUCGACUACAUUAAAAAGCAUAUAUAGGUUUCUCAGCCAGUGGUCUACUAAUGAGCUACCACCAUGUGGACUAGCUGUAUUCUGCUGCCUUUCACUGUAAUGUUCAACAGCAAGAUCACUGCAUUCUCAUGUGAAUUACCAUAAACAAUCCAAACUAUAAACACUCAUUUGAAGAAUAAACUAAUUUUUGCUUUUGUUAGGCACCAUAUACUUAGAUCUCAUUACAAUGUUAGUCAUCGCUACCCUACGCACCACCAUAAAACUGCUGUAAAAUUUGAUUAAGUUAUAAUUCGGUUAAGUAGCAAGUGACUGUAUACUAUCUUUUUAAACAGACAGUAUUCUGGAGUCCUAAAGUACUUCUUCAGUAUGUAAUAUCUGUGUGCAAGUUCCAUUAAUUUUACAGAGUUUACUGUUUGCUAAAUUUAGGGUUCAGUCCUGUCAGUCACUUCAUUAAAGCCUCUCAAACAUCUUCAUUGUUGCGGUACAAGCUGGACACAAACUCAUUGCUGUGGAGGGCUACUGUGAAUAAUUCCAGCUAUUCACAUACAUAGGUUCUUAAUACAUAUAUUGUUUGUUAACAGUCCCCUUGAAGUAGUAAACAGCUGUUUUUCUAUACUAGUAUGUCUGUUGGAGAAAUUUUUCUUUCAGUUGGAUUAUUAAUACCACAUUCUUAUUAAGAGGCUGUCAGCAUAUUAGCAUCAUUUGUAUUUUAGUGGUUAAUAGGUCACAGAAAUAGCCCUAUUUGGAAUUGGCAUUUUUUCCUCUGGUGUACGUGGUAAGGCAAGCAAUACGGGGAAGGAACACAGAGCACUCAAACACUAGGGAAGAACUCAAAGCAAACGCUAUCCAGAAAGAACAGAGGUCAGAUGAAACUUGGCGUUGGGGCUGAGGGGGACGUGCUGUUUGAGGUUUAGUAAGCAAUUAGUGAUUAUGGUCAGUAGCUGCAAGGUUUUUUGAAAAGUCCUAAGCUGGGUUCAUAAAAAUUGUAAGUAUAUAAAACUUUGUUAAAUGGGAAAGAUCUAAUGUUGCCUGUGCAAGUAGCAGCUGCACUAAAUUAUGUUUUUGUGGGUGUGCUGCAAUAUAUGGAGAACUGUUUCCAAAACCUUUUUUUAUUCUGAGUGGCACCAUUUUAAAUCGAGUUUUCUAAAAGCUGCUGCAUAAGUCUAGAGUACAUACUCCUUUGUUUCUUAGAUAAACUUUUUAUGGAGAGGAAGUUGUCUUAAUUUCUUCUUUUUGGUAAAUGAGCAAAUUAAUAAUGCAGAUAAUAUGAAAAAGUAAUUUUGUGUGAAAUAAAGCUGUAAAAUUGAUGAAAUAGAAGGAGGAGGAACCAUGAAGGUUUAUACAAUACAAUAUUAAAGCUUUUUUUUUUUUUAAAUAAAAAUGUGGCAGACAA